GCUUCUGUGGCCUAGUGGUUAGAGCGUCCGCCGCCUCGGAUGCGGAAGGUUAUGGGUUCGAACUCCAGCCGAGUCA
Molecule: non-coding RNA, 76 nt
Organism: Potamilus streckersoni
Lineage: Eukaryota; Metazoa; Mollusca; Bivalvia; Unionida; Unionidae
Source: the annotation of a GenBank genome assembly